GCGUCAGUAGUGAGACGGUUAGAGCACGCGCUCGUGGAAAGAGUGAGGUGCGGAUUCAAGUCCUGCCUGACGCG
Parelaphostrongylus tenuis is the source of this 74-nucleotide non-coding RNA. The record is from the annotation of a GenBank genome assembly. NCBI's taxonomy places the organism in Eukaryota, Metazoa, Nematoda, Chromadorea, Rhabditida, Metastrongylidae.